UGGGCAGUAUCUGCAAAGAACUGUACCUGUUAGGAAGAAAAAUUCGAUAAAUUUCUGCCUUGAUCCUAAGGGACUUGGACAGAGGG
This 86-nucleotide non-coding RNA is filed under the name Bacillus safensis. Its description in RNAcentral is "pan". It matches the Rfam family "pan motif". The record is from RNAcentral. Lineage: Bacteria; Bacillati; Bacillota; Bacilli; Caryophanales; Bacillaceae.